GACGCGGGGCCGGCGGAGGGCCCGGGGCGCGCCCUUGAGCGGCGGCUGAGCGUGCUUCGGGCGCAGAGAAGGAGGCUCCGGGGGAACUUCUCGCUCCACAACUCCCUGACAGGAGGCUGUAGCCGGGUGGGACUCGGCCUCUUCUCCCAGGCAAACAGCGGCAGGAUGAGAGGAUAUGGCCUCGAGCUGCGCCAGAGGAGGUGUAGGUUGGGCAUUAGGAAGAAUUUCUUCACAGAAAGCGUGGUUUGACAUUGGAAUGGGCUGCCCAGGGAGGUGGUGGAGUCACCGCCCCUGGAGGUGUCUGAGGGAAGACCGGACGUGGCACUCACUCAGUGCCGGGGUCUGACUGACACCGCGGUGUUGGGUCACGGGUUGGACUCGAUGACCUCAGAGGUCUUUUCCAACCUGAUUGAUUCUGUGAUUCUGUUAAGUAUAUCUGAUUUUGGAGUGUACCAUGAGUUAAAGCAUCUCCACCCGUGGCUUUCCAUCCCGGGUUCACGGCCACAUUCAGUGCUGGGGAGGUGCCGUGCUGGUGCAGCGCCCCUGGCAAGCACACAGGUGCCAGGGGCCAAGCGUCGCUCCUGAGCUAGGCUGUGAUUUCCCUCUUUGUCAAAUAUUUUCCCUAAUUUUGUCUGCAGACACUUCCCAGCAGUGCUUUGGCUUCCCUCUGCACUGUGGUGACACCCAGUUAUGGUAGAAACCCCCUGCAUGCCAUAAAUACCCCCAGCACCCUCCAGGUAAAUCACCACCCUGGUUUUUACCUUCUCAUUUUUCUAAAAUCAGCUCUAUAUGGCCUUUCAAUAUAUGCUUGUAUGUAAAAUCAUAUGUAAUACAUCACUGAAUCCUUAUAUCCACAGAGAGUCAAACUGCAGACCACACCAGUGCCCUGUUACCAUGAGGAGAGAGGUGUGGGAAUUGGCAGGGUGCUGCUGAAUUCCAGUUUCAAGGGGUAGAUGGGUGCAGCCUUGCCUGAGAUGGGCAGGGUGGUCUUCAUCUCUGCUGGCUGAAGCUCCCUAGUCCUCCCUGCCCUUGCCGUGCUCACACAGCCAUUGUUCAACUCCACCUGCUUCAAUGCUGGAACAAAAUAAAAUUAAAUUCUUAAAUUAA
This is a long non-coding RNA of Corvus hawaiiensis (hawaiian crow), 1107 nucleotides long. RefSeq lists it as uncharacterized. The record is from RefSeq and is a predicted model, not a curated record. NCBI's taxonomy places the organism in Eukaryota, Metazoa, Chordata, Aves, Passeriformes, Corvidae. The transcript has 2 exons.